UGCACAUGUUAAAUGGGUGAUUAAGAAGACAGAGAGCUGCUUAAAAGGUCAUGGGAGAAGUACAAUGUCUGGGGACUUGGCAGUAGCCUGGCAGAGACCGCAGGAAUCCUAUAGAGUCUUUUAUGGACAGGGCUCUGAAAUUCCAGAGCCUGCAGGAGCUCCUGCCUGAGGUUUAUCUACAAAUGACACAGAAAGGACACCAGGCCCAUUCAGAUGGCAACCCAGGAAGACACCAGUCCUUCUGUCCUCACAUUAACAGAAGGAGGCCUCUGCUCGAGAGCCUUCAUGGGGGCUGAGGAACCUUUGGGAGCCUGAGCUGAUGGAGACUGGGCCUAAGCCUUUGGCCUACAGAGUCUGAGACCCUGGUGAUGUGGGCGCCCCAGGCAAUGUGGGCACCAGUACACUUCCUGAACUUGGGCUGAGCAAUGAGGACAAGUCAAUUGAGCCUGUGGCUUUGGGGAUCUGCCUUGGGAUUUCUGAGGGCCCUGAUGGCCUCUGCAAGUACACUCCCAGCCUUGGCAUUGUUGACCUGCUUCUUCUCCAGGCCCUAUUUUUUUUCUUUUUUUGAGACAGUGUUUCCCUCUUGUUGCCCAGGCUGGAGUGCAAU
Molecule: long non-coding RNA, 607 nt
Filed under: Homo sapiens (human)
Lineage: Eukaryota; Metazoa; Chordata; Mammalia; Primates; Hominidae
Description: HSALNT0115810
Source: RNAcentral